Long non-coding RNA from Daphnia pulex (common water flea), 484 nucleotides. RefSeq lists it as uncharacterized. Lineage: Eukaryota; Metazoa; Arthropoda; Branchiopoda; Diplostraca; Daphniidae. The transcript is spliced from 4 exons. The record is from RefSeq and is a predicted model, not a curated record.
GUUGUUUUUACAUCGCGAAAGGAGGCAAAAUGGGCGAAACAAUUGGAUGCUAAUUAAUAUUUAUAUUCCGGUGAUUUCAUAUACCAAAUGGAACUUCGUAUCAAUAUAGAUGCAUACUGUCAGUCAUUCCAAAAAGUUGACUCAGCGCUCAGUCACUUUCCCUCCAAUAGACCCAUCAUGUUGUCAAAAGCCUUAAAACUCAUCUGUGAAGCUCACAUAUCGUGGAAUACAAAUGUGCGGAGACAAGGUAUUUCCCCAUUCCGCUACCACACCAACCACACCACAUCAAAUGCCUUACUAAAUUCAUCACCAUUCACAUAUGAUAAAGCAUCAGGAAAUUUACCUCAACCUGAAGAGUAAGGCUGUUGGUUGCUGUGAUUUCCAUUUUGCGGUUUUUUAUCAUGAAAACUUCAGUGUGCUUGUUAGUAUAGAGCUCAUAAUAGAUCCUUAAGCCAAUGCUGACCUUUGUCCAUGAAGGAAGAGG